GAUGAAGAACGCAGCGAAAUGCGAUAAGUAAUGUGAAUUGCAGAAUUCAGUGAAUCAUCGAAUCUUUGAACGCACAUUGCGCCCGCCAGUAUUCUGGCGGGCAUGCCUGUUCGAGCGUCAUUUCAACCAUCAAGCCCCAGGCUUGUGUUGGGGACCUGCGGCUGCCGCAGGCCCUGAAAACCAGUGGCGGGCUCGCUGUCACACCGGGCGUAGUAGAUUUUAUCUCGCUCAGGGCGUGCUGCGGGUUCCGGCCGUUAAAAAGCCUUUUUUACCCAAGGUUGACCUCGGAUCAGGUAGGAAGGCCCGCUGAACUUAAGCAUAUCAAUAAGCGGAGGA
RNAcentral lists this unclassified non-coding RNA (336 nucleotides) under soil metagenome. Its description in RNAcentral is "partial contains 5.8S ribosomal RNA, internal transcribed spacer 2, and large subunit ribosomal RNA". The stretch from base 1 to 120 matches the Rfam family "5.8S ribosomal RNA", at positions 35 to 154 of the family's 154-position model. The record is from RNAcentral.